Molecule: ribosomal RNA, 796 nt
Filed under: uncultured archaeon
Lineage: Archaea
Description: bacterial SSU rRNA
Rfam family: Archaeal small subunit ribosomal RNA
Source: RNAcentral
ACGGCUCAGUAACACGUGGAUAACCUGCCCUUGGGACCGGCAUAACCCCGGGAAACCGGGGAUAAUUCCGGAUACUGCAUAUAUGCUGGAAUGCUUUAUGCAUAAAAUGGAUUCGUCUGCCCAAGGAUGGGUCUGCGGCCUAUCAGGUAGUAGUGGGUGUAAUGUACCUACUAGCCGACGACGGGUACGGGUUGUGAGAGCAAGAGCCCGGAGAUGGAUUCUGAGACAUGAAUCCAGGCCCUACGGGGCGCAGCAGGCGCGAAAACUUUACAAUGCGGGAAACCGUGAUAAGGGGACACCGAGUGCCAGCAUCAUAUGCUGGCUGUCCGGGUGUUUAAACUACACCUGUUAGCAAGGGCCGGGCAAGACCGGUGCCAGCCGCCGCGGUAACACCGGCGGCCCGAGUGGUGAUCGUGAUUAUUGGGUCUAAAGGGUCCGUAGCCGGUUUGGUCAGUCCUCCGGGAAAUCUGACGGCUUAACCGUUAGGCUUUCGGGGGAUACUGCCAGGCUUGGAACCGGGAGAGGUAAGAGGUACUACAGGGGUAGGAGUGAAAUCUUGUAAUCCCUGUGGGACCACCUGUGGCGAAGGCGUCUUACCAGAACGGGUUCGACGGUGAGGGACGAAAGCUGGGGGCACGAACCGGAUUAGAUACCCGGGUAGUCCCAGCCGUAAACGAUGCUCGCUAGGUGUCAGGCAUGGCGCGACCGUGUCUGGUGCCGCAGGGAAGCCGUGAAGCGAGCCACCUGGGAAGUACGGCCGCAAGGCUGAAACUUAAAGGAAUUGGCGGGGGAGCAC